UACGGAGGGUGCAAGCGUUAAUCGGAAUUACUGGGCGUAAAGCGCGCGUAGGUGGCUAAGUCAGCCAGGUGUGAAAGCCCCGGGCUCAACCUGGGAACGGCAUCUGGAACUGCUUGGCUAGAGUGCAGGAGAGGAAGGUAGAAUUCCCGGUGUAGCGGUGAAAUGCGUAGAGAUCGGGAGGAAUACCAGUGGCGAAGGCG
RNAcentral lists this ribosomal RNA (200 nucleotides) under uncultured bacterium. Its description in RNAcentral is "partial 16S ribosomal RNA". It matches the Rfam family "Bacterial small subunit ribosomal RNA", at positions 524 to 723 of the family's 1533-position model. The record is from RNAcentral.